RNAcentral lists this ribosomal RNA (606 nucleotides) under uncultured bacterium. RNAcentral's name for it is "bacterial SSU rRNA". It matches the Rfam family "Bacterial small subunit ribosomal RNA", at positions 68 to 669 of the family's 1533-position model. The record is from RNAcentral.
GGAUGAGGGAAGCUUGCUUCCCGAUUUAGCGGCGGACGGGUGAGUAAUGCCUAGGAAUCUGCCUAUUAGUGGGGGAUAACGUUCCGAAAGGAACGCUAAUACCGCAUACGUCCUACGGGAGAAAGUGGGGGAUCUUCGGACCUCACGCUAAUAGAUGAGCCUAGGUCGGAUUAGCUAGUUGGUGGGGUAACGGCUCACCAAGGCGACGAUCCGUAGCUGGUCUGAGAGGAUGAUCAGCCACACUGGAACUGAGACACGGUCCAGACUCCUACGGGAGGCAGCAGUGGGGAAUAUUGGACAAUGGGCGAAAGCCUGAUCCAGCCAUGCCGCGUGUGUGAAGAAGGUCUUCGGAUUGUAAAGCACUUUAAGUUGGGAGGAAGAGUUGUAAGCUAAUAUCUUGCAGCUUUGACGUUACCAACAGAAUAAGCACCGGCUAACUCUGUGCCAGCAGCCGCGGUAAUACAGAGGGUGCAAGCGUUAAUCGGAAUUACUGGGCGUAAAGCGCGCGUAGGCGGCUUAGUAAGUUGGAUGUGAAAGCCCCGGGCUCAACCUGGGAACUGCAUCCAAAACUGCUUGGCUAGAGUACAGUAGAGGGUGGUGGAAUUU